AGCGUACACGGUGGAUGCCUUGGCAGUCAGAGGCGAUGAAGGACGUAUUAACUUGCGAUAAGCCCAGAUUAGGUAGUAAAAACCAUUUGAGUCUGGGAUUUCCGAAUGGGGAAACCCACUUGCAUAAGCAAGUAUCGCUGCGUGAAUACAUAGCGCAGCGAGGCGAACCGGGGGAACUGAAACAUCUAAGUACCCCGAGGAAAAGAAAUCAACCGAGAUUCCGAAAGUAGCGGCGAGCGAAAUUGGACUAGCCCUUAAGCUUUUUAUGCGUCAGGUGAAACUUCUGGAAAGUUGUGCGAUACAGGGUGAUAGCCCCGUAACCGGCAACGCAUAUAAAGUGAAAUCGAGUAGGGCGGGACACGUGAUAUCCUGUCUGAAUAUGGGGGGACCAUCCUCCAAGGCUAAAUACUACUGACUGACCGAUAGUGAACCAGUACCGUGAGGGAAAGGCGAAAAGAACCCCUGUGAGGGGAGUGAAAUAGAACCUGAAACCGUGUACGUACAAGCAGUAGGAGCACCUUCGUGGUGUGACUGCGUACCUUUUGUAUAAUGGGUCAGCGACUUAUAUUCAGUGGCAAGGUUAACCAUCUAGGGGAGCCGUAGCGAAAGCGAGUGUUAACUGCGCGACUCAGUCGCUGGAUAUAGACCCGAAACCAGGUGAUCUAGCCAUGGGCAGGUUGAAGAUUGAGUAACAUCAAUUGGAGGACCGAACCGACUAAUGUUGAAAAAUUAGCGGAUGACUUGUGGCUAGGGGUGAAAGGCCAAUCAAACCUGGAGAUAGCUGGUUCUCCCCGAAAGCUAUUUAGGUAGCGCCUCGGACGAAUACUACUGGGGGUAGAGCACUGUUAAGGCUAGGGGGUCAUCCCGACUUACCAACCCUUUGCAAACUCCGAAUACCAGUAAGUACUAUCCGGGAGACACACGGCGGGUGCUAACGUCCGUCGUGGAGAGGGAAACAACCCAGACCGCCAGCUAAGGUCCCAAAUUACUACUAAGUGGGAAACGAUGUGGGAAGGCUCAGACAGCCAGGAUGUUGGCUUAGAAGCAGCCAUCAUUUAAAGAAAGCGUAAUAGCUCACUGGUCGAGUCGGCCUGCGCGGAAGAUGUAACGGGGCUAAGUAGUAAACCGAAGCUGCGGCAAUGCACUUUAGUGCAUUGGGUAGGGGAGCGUUCUGUAAGCGGUUGAAGGUGUGUGGUAACGCAUGCUGGACGUAUCAGAAGUGCGAAUGCUGACAUGAGUAACGAUAAAGGGGGUGAAAAACCUCCUCGCCGGAAGACCAAGGGUUCCUGUCCAACGUUAAUCGGGGCAGGGUAAGUCGACCCCUAAGGCGAGGCCGAAAGGCGUAGUCGAUGGGAAACGGGUUAAUAUUCCCGUACUUCUUACAAUUGCGAUGGGGGGACGGAGAAGGCUAGGUGGGCCUGGCGACGGUUGUCCAGGUUCAAGUGCGUAGGCUGAAGAGUUAGGUAAAUCCGGCUCUUCUUAAGGCUGAGACACGACGUCGAGCUACUACGGUAGUGAAGUCAUUGAUGCCAUGCUUCCAGGAAAAGCCUCUAAGCUUCAGAUUGUAAGGAAUCGUACCCCAAACCGACACAGGUGGUCGGGUAGAGAAUACCAAGGCGCUUGAGAGAACUCGGGUGAAGGAACUAGGCAAAAUGGUACCGUAACUUCGGGAGAAGGUACGCUCUUGAUGGUGAAGUCCCUUGCGGAUGGAGCUGACGAGAGUCGCAGAUACCAGGUGGCUGCAACUGUUUAUUAAAAACACAGCACUGUGCAAAAUCGUAAGAUGACGUAUACGGUGUGACGCCUGCCCGGUGCCGGAAGGUUAAUUGAUGGGGUUAGACUUCGGUCGAAGCUCUUGAUCGAAGCCCCGGUAAACGGCGGCCGUAACUAUAACGGUCCUAAGGUAGCGAAAUUCCUUGUCGGGUAAGUUCCGACCUGCACGAAUGGCGUAAUGAUGGCCACGCUGUCUCCACCCGAGACUCAGUGAAAUUGAAAUCGCUGUGAAGAUGCAGUGUACCCGCGGCUAGACGGAAAGACCCCGUGAACCUUUACUACAGCUUGGCACUGAACAUUGACCCUACAUGUGUAGGAUAGGUGGGAGGCUUUGAAGCAAGUACGCCAGUAUUUGUGGAGCCGUCCUUGAAAUACCACCCUUGUAGUGUUGAUGUUCUAACGUUGACCCCUAAUCGGGGUUGCGGACAGUGCCUGGUGGGUAGUUUGACUGGGGCGGUCUCCUCCCAAAGAGUAACGGAGGAGCACGAAGG
RNAcentral lists this ribosomal RNA (2264 nucleotides) under Vibrio owensii ATCC 25919. RNAcentral's name for it is "bacterial LSU rRNA". It matches the Rfam family "Bacterial large subunit ribosomal RNA", at positions 14 to 2316 of the family's 2925-position model. Lineage: Bacteria; Pseudomonadati; Pseudomonadota; Gammaproteobacteria; Vibrionales; Vibrionaceae. The record is from RNAcentral.